RNAcentral lists this ribosomal RNA (489 nucleotides) under uncultured bacterium. RNAcentral's name for it is "bacterial SSU rRNA". It matches the Rfam family "Bacterial small subunit ribosomal RNA", at positions 28 to 507 of the family's 1533-position model. The record is from RNAcentral.
GAUGAACGCUAGCGAUAGGCCUAACACAUGCAAGUCGAGGGGCAUCACAUGAAGUAGCAAUACGGAUGGUGGCGACCGGCGCACGGGUGAGUAACACGUAUGCAACCUGCCUUCAACAAGGGGAUAACCCGUUGAAAGACGGACUAAUACCCUAUAACACAGGGGUCCCGCAUGGGAAUAUUUGUUAAAGGACAACCGGUUGAAGAUGGGCAUGCGUUCCAUUAGCUAGUUGGCGGGGUAACGGCCCACCAAGGCAACGAUGGAUAGGGGAACUGAGAGGUUUAUCCCCCACACUGGUACUGAGACACGGACCAGACUCCUACGGGAGGCAGCAGUGAGGAAUAUUGGUCAAUGGACGCAAGUCUGAACCAGCCACGUCGCGUGAAGGAAGACGGCCCUACGGGUUGUAAACUUCUUUUAUACGGGAAUAAAGUGCCCCACGCGUGGGGUUUGCAUGUACCGUAUGAAUAAGGAUCGGCUAACUCCGUG